Molecule: ribosomal RNA, 253 nt
Filed under: uncultured prokaryote
Description: partial 16S ribosomal RNA
Rfam family: Bacterial small subunit ribosomal RNA
Source: RNAcentral
ACGUAGGAUGCAAGCGUUGUCCGGAUUUACUGGGCGUAAAGCGCGCGCAGGCGGCAUGGUAAGUAAGGUGUGAAAUCCAUCUGCUCAACGGGUGGGGUGCACUUUAGACUGCCAAGCUUGAGGUCGGUAGAGGGGGGUAGAAUUGCUGGUGUAGCGGUGAAAUGCGUAGAGAUCAGCAGGAAUACCCGUGGCGAAGGCGGCCCCCUGGGCCGUACCUGACGCUGAGGCGCGAAGGCUAGGGGAGCGAACGGGA